This 446-nucleotide ribosomal RNA is filed under the name uncultured bacterium. RNAcentral describes it as "partial 16S ribosomal RNA". It matches the Rfam family "Bacterial small subunit ribosomal RNA", at positions 338 to 795 of the family's 1533-position model. The record is from RNAcentral.
CCUACGGGAGGCAGCAGUCGAGAAUCAUUCACAAUGGGGGAAACCCUGAUGGUGCGACGCCGCGUGGGGGAAUGAAGGUCUUCGGAUUGUAAACCCCUGUCAUGUGGGAGCAAAUUAAAAAGAUAGUACCACAAGAGGAAGAGACGGCUAACUCUGUGCCAGCAGCCGCGGUACUACAGAGGUCUCAAGCGGUGUUCGGAAUCACUGGGCGUAAAGCGUGCGUAGGCUGUUUCGUAAGUCGUGUGUGAAAGGCGCGGACGUAACCCGCGGACGGCACAUGAUACUGCGAGACUAGAGUAAUGGAGGGGGAACCGGAAUUCGCGGUGUAGCAGUGAAAUGCGUAGAUAUCGAGAGGAACACUCGUGGCGAAGGCGGGUUCCUGGACAUUAACUGACGCUGAGGCACGAAGGCCAGGGGAGCGAAAGGGAUUAGAUACCCGUGUAGUC